AAACGACUCUCGGCAACGGAUAUCUCGGCUCACGCAUCGAUGAAGAACGUAGCAAAAUGCGAUACUUGGUGUGAAUUGCAGAAUCCCGUGAACCAUCGAGUUUUUGAACGCAAGUUGCGCCCGAAGCCAUCCGGUUGAGGGCACGUCUGCCUGGGCGUCACGCA
This 164-nucleotide ribosomal RNA is filed under the name Madia elegans. Its description in RNAcentral is "5.8S ribosomal RNA". It matches the Rfam family "5.8S ribosomal RNA". Rfam says of the family: 5.8S ribosomal RNA (5.8S rRNA) is a component of the large subunit of the eukaryotic ribosome. It is transcribed by RNA polymerase I as part of the 45S precursor that also contains 18S and 28S rRNA. The record is from RNAcentral. RNAcentral also lists the same sequence under 5 other names. Lineage: Eukaryota; Viridiplantae; Streptophyta; Magnoliopsida; Asterales; Asteraceae.